Molecule: ribosomal RNA, 406 nt
Filed under: uncultured bacterium
Lineage: Bacteria
Description: partial 16S ribosomal RNA
Rfam family: Bacterial small subunit ribosomal RNA
Source: RNAcentral
AUUGAACGCUGGCGGCAGGCCUAACACAUGCAAGUCGAGCUAGCGGCGGACGGGUGAGUCAUGUCUGGGAAACUGCCUGAUGGAGGGGGAUAACUACUGGAAACGGUAGCUAAUACCGCAUACCAUACGAUGUUCCCAGAUGGGAUUAGCAAGUAGGUGGGGUAACGGCGCACCGAGGCGACGAUCCCUAGCUGGUCUGAGAGGAUGACCAGCAACACUGGAACUGAGACACGGUCCAGACUCCUACGGGAGGCAGCAGUGGGGAAUAUGGCACAAGGGGCGCAAGCCUGAUGCAGCCAUGCCGCGUGUGUGAAGAAGGCCUUCGGGUUGUAAAGCACUUUCAGCGGGGAGGCGUUACCCGCAGAAGAAGCACCGGCUAACUCCGUGCCAGCAGCCGCGGUAAUAC